RNAcentral lists this long non-coding RNA (403 nucleotides) under Chinchilla lanigera (long-tailed chinchilla). RNAcentral's name for it is "lncRNA (ENSCLAG00000026786.1)". Lineage: Eukaryota; Metazoa; Chordata; Mammalia; Rodentia; Chinchillidae. The record is from RNAcentral.
GAAAACCCUUCCCUCGCCUCCGCGGUCGCGGGACUUCCGCUCGGCGGCCAGCAGGGGGCGGCACCGCGCCGUCGUCGUCCCGGCAGCGGCGCGGGCUGCGGGCCUGGGACUGCGUUUUUGCGGGUGUGACCCAUGCUCAGAACAGAGCAGAAAACACCGCUAAGAGUCUCUCUACUGCAGCAGUUCGUUCAUUUAGCUUCAUUCAAGGUCACCACGGGUCCCUGCUUAAUUCCAAGGGAGCAGACGGACCAUGUGCUUGCGUCCAGCUCCCACCGGGGUGUAUGGACUUCCUUUUCCAUAACGGAAGGGGUAACAGUCAACUCGUGAACUAAAUGGAAAGACAUGGGUAUGCCCCCGCUGGCCAAUCAGAGCAAAGCUGACAGUAGUCAUCGUCUGACCACAC